GGUGGGGUGAAACGAGCGUUACCAUGGCAACCCUGCGGCGGAAGCUCUGAGAAGCUCUUGGCCUCUACCGGUUCUGCGAGAAAGUAAACUUUGGGCACGACAAGUCAUGAAGUCGGCACGUUGGGGAGACACCGUGUCACAAUGACAAGGUACCCUACAAGGCCUGUCAGGGAAGAUAGGGUAGAAUCCUGAGAAUGCUCCCACACAGUGCUGAUGGGGAAGGACCACUAUCCCAUCCACUGCUACAACUCUGGAGACACAGCUCUCCUAUCUCCCCUAUAUGACACAAGGCCUAAUCUGCAGAGAAAGAGCAUCCAAACCUGAGUCACAAGGCACUGGGGAAAAACUCCCGAACUGAGGGUAGAGAAACAAGGCCAACACCCACAUUUUUGCACAGAUGCAUCUCCCAUAAAGAAAACAAAUUAUUAACUUACAGGGCACUGUUGCAGGCCCACUUCAACUGGGAGUUAAGAACAUGGAGAAGGAGUAUCUCUCCCCUACCAUGGACAAGUAGGGACAGGAAUGUGUUCUUGCCCUGGCAUUGCAUCUACAGGAGGGGCAGGAAACUCUUCAAAUGUCAGUAACCCCACACCCCAGUUCACAGUGCUAAGUCUGAGGCUUCCUCAGAACAUUGGAGAUCCCCUCACUCCCUCACCGCUGCUACCAGGCUAAGAAGCAUGGAGUCAAAAGAACAGUGGAAUAUAGCUGGGCCAAGUGCAAGAAACCAUGUGUGGGAAGAGACACAAAGGGAAGGCACAGCAAACCCGGGAGAUAUUAGCAAAGUAUCAUGAAAGGGAUUUGAAUUUCCUCGUCAUCAGAAGGCUAUUACUGCCAUAACGACUUUUAAUCCCAGCCUACCUCUCAUCUACAUGACCACAAACCCCUACACUAAGGCCUAUCUGAGGGAAAAUCGCUCAUCGAUAACCUAAAAACUAUCCCCUUUCAAUGCCAGUGGGCUGAUGAAAAAAAUAAAAAGAAUAAAAAACCCA
Molecule: long non-coding RNA, 989 nt
Filed under: Homo sapiens (human)
Lineage: Eukaryota; Metazoa; Chordata; Mammalia; Primates; Hominidae
Description: HSALNT0341161
Source: RNAcentral